AAAUUGAAGAGUUUGAUCAUGGCUCAGAUUGAACGCUGGCGGCAGGCCUAACACAUGCAAGUCGAACGGUAACAGGAAGCAGCUUGCUGCUUCGCUGACGAGUGGCGGACGGGUGAGUAAUGUCUGGGAAACUGCCUGAUGGAGGGGGAUAACUACUGGAAACGGUGGCUAAUACCGCAUAACGUCGCAAGACCAAAGAGGGGGACCUUCGGGCCUCUUGCCAUCAGAUGUGCCCAGAUGGGAUUAGCUAGUUGGUGAGGUAACGGCUCACCAAGGCGACGAUCCCUAGCUGGUCUGAGAGGAUGACCAGCCACACUGGAACUGAGACACGGUCCAGACUCCUACGGGAGGCAGCAGUGGGGAAUAUUGCACAAUGGGCGCAAGCCUGAUGCAGCCAUGCCGCGUGUAUGAAGAAGGCCUUCGGGUUGUAAAGUACUUUCAGCGGGGAGGAAGGUGUUGUGGUUAAUAACCACAGCAAUUGACGUUACCCGCAGAAGAAGCACCGGCUAACUCCGUGCCAGCAGCCGCGGUAAUACGGAGGGUGCAAGCGUUAAUCGGAAUUACUGGGCGUAAAGCGCACGCAGGCGGUCUGUCAAGUCGGAUGUGAAAUCCCCGGGCUCAACCUGGGAACUGCAUUCGAAACUGGCAGGCUUGAGUCUUGUAGAGGGGGGUA
Molecule: ribosomal RNA, 673 nt
Filed under: Salmonella enterica
Lineage: Bacteria; Pseudomonadati; Pseudomonadota; Gammaproteobacteria; Enterobacterales; Enterobacteriaceae
Also listed under: 1 other name
Description: bacterial SSU rRNA
Rfam family: Bacterial small subunit ribosomal RNA
Source: RNAcentral